CCUACGGGCGGCAGCAGUGGGGAAUAUUGGACAAUGGGCGAAAGCCUGAUCCAGCCAUGCCGCGUGUGUGAAGAAGGCCUUCGGGUUGUAAAGCACUUUCAGUGGGGAAGAAAGCCUUGGGGCUAAUACCCUCGAGGAAGGACAUCACCCACAGAAGAAGCACCGGCUAACUCCGUGCCAGCAGCCGCGGUAAUACGGAGGGUGCGAGCGUUAAUCGGAAUUACUGGGCGUAAAGCGCGCGUAGGCGGUCUGAUAAGCCGGUUGUGAAAGCCCCGGGCUCAACCUGGGAACGGCAUCCGGAACUGUCAGGCUAGAGUGCAGGAGAGGAAGGUAGAAUUCCCGGUGUAGCGGUGAAAUGCGUAGAGAUCGGGAGGAAUACCAGUUGCGAAGGCAGUCUUCUGGACUGACACUGACGCUGAGGUGCGAAAGCGUGGGUAGCAAACAGGAUUAGAUACCCGUGUAGUC
Molecule: ribosomal RNA, 465 nt
Filed under: Vreelandella stevensii
Lineage: Bacteria; Pseudomonadati; Pseudomonadota; Gammaproteobacteria; Oceanospirillales; Halomonadaceae
Description: partial 16S ribosomal RNA
Rfam family: Bacterial small subunit ribosomal RNA
Source: RNAcentral